This 299-nucleotide signal recognition particle RNA is filed under the name Gouania willdenowi (blunt-snouted clingfish). Its description in RNAcentral is "Metazoan signal recognition particle RNA (ENSGWIG00000001937.1)". It matches the Rfam family "Metazoan signal recognition particle RNA". From Rfam's summary of the family: The signal recognition particle (SRP) is a universally conserved ribonucleoprotein. It is involved in the co-translational targeting of proteins to membranes. The record is from Rfam by way of RNAcentral. Lineage: Eukaryota; Metazoa; Chordata; Actinopteri; Blenniiformes; Gobiesocidae.
GCCGGGUGCGGUGGCGCGCGCCUGUAAUCCAAGCUACUGGGAGGCUGAGGCUGGCGGAUCGUUUGAGCUCAGGAGCUCUGAGCUGCAGUGGACUAUGCCGAUCGGGUGUCCGCACUAAGUUCGGUAUCGAUAUGGUGCUCCUGAGGGAGCUCGGGACCACCAGGUCGCCUAAGGAGGGGUGCACCGGCCCAGGCCGGAAACGGAGCAGGUCAAAGCCCCCGUGCCGCUCAGUAGUGGGAUCGCGCCUGUGAAUAGACGCUGUAGUUCAGCCUGAGUAAUACAGCGGGACCCAGUCUUUU